RNAcentral lists this ribosomal RNA (600 nucleotides) under uncultured archaeon. RNAcentral's name for it is "bacterial SSU rRNA". It matches the Rfam family "Archaeal small subunit ribosomal RNA", at positions 184 to 787 of the family's 1478-position model. The record is from RNAcentral.
UGGUCAACAAGUUUACUGCCAUGGGAUGGGACUGCGGCCUAUCAGCUUGUUGGUGAGGUAAUGGCCCACCAGCGAUUACAGGUACGGGCUCUGAGAGGAGAAGCCCGGAGAUGGGUACUGAGACACGGACCCAGGCCCUAUGGGGCGCAGCAGGCGAGAAACCUUUAGCAAUGUGCGAAAGCACGACUGGGCCAGUCCGAGUGAUUCCUGAUAAAGGAGUCUUUUGCCUGUCCUAAAAGCACAGGUGAAUAAGGGGUGGGCAAGUCUGGUGUCAGCCGCCGCGGUAAUACCAGCACCUCGAGUGGUCAGGACGUUUAUUGGGCCUAAAGCAUCCGUAGCCGACUCUGCAAGUCUUCGGUUAAAUCCACCUGCUCAACAGAUGGGCCGCUGGAGAUACUACAGAGCUAGGGAGUGGGAGAGGCAGACGGUAUUCAGUGGGUAGGGGUAAAAUCCUCUGAUCCAUUGAGGACCACCAGUGGCGAAGGCGGUCUGCCAGAACACGUUCGACGGUGAGGGAUGAAAGCUGGGGGAGCAAACCGGAUUAGAUACCCGGGUAGUCCCAGCUGUAAACGAUGCAAACUCGGUGAUGCAUUGGCUUAU